RNAcentral lists this non-coding RNA (341 nucleotides) under Pongo abelii (Sumatran orangutan). Lineage: Eukaryota; Metazoa; Chordata; Mammalia; Primates; Hominidae. The record is from RNAcentral.
UGUCCUCUUAAAAUUCUGCCCUGGAGGUGUCACCCUAGCUCCAGCCCUGACCUUAAGAGGGAGGUACUAGUAUUAUCCACAUUUAUUUUUUAUUUUAAUUAAUUAAUUAAUUAAUUUUAUUUAUUUUUGAGACGGAGUCUCGCUCUGUUGCCCAGGCUGGAGUGCAGUGGCGCAAUCUCGGCUCACUGCAAGCUCCGCCUCCCAGGUUCACGCCAUUCUCCUGCCUCAGCCUCCCAAGUAGCUGGGACUACAGGCACCCGCCACCAUGCCCGGCUAAUUUUUUGUAUUUCAGGAUUUGAAUCUGGGCAGCCUGGCUCUAGAUGCUAGGCUCUAGAUGGAAG